Non-coding RNA from Gossypium hirsutum (cotton), 145 nucleotides. The record is from Rfam. Lineage: Eukaryota; Viridiplantae; Streptophyta; Magnoliopsida; Malvales; Malvaceae.
UCUUAAAAUUUCUAUCCAUUUGUACGGUUAAAAACUGAUGUGAGUGAUGAAAUAAUCAAACAAUGUCACAUGACAUGCCACUUGUACCUUAUGUUAACAUACAAGAAUCAGUUUUUAACACUAGAAAUGAAUGAAAUUUUUGACA